RNAcentral lists this transfer RNA (73 nucleotides) under Rattus norvegicus (Norway rat). It matches the Rfam family "tRNA". Rfam says of the family: Transfer RNA (tRNA) molecules are approximately 80 nucleotides in length. Lineage: Eukaryota; Metazoa; Chordata; Mammalia; Rodentia; Muridae. The record is from Rfam by way of RNAcentral.
GCUGGAGAAGCUCAGUGGUUAAGAGCACAGACUUCUCUUUUAGAGGAUCUGGGUUCAAUUCCCAGCACCCACA